UCCAUCCUCAUCAAGCCCCUGCCGCGAAUCAGAAUCUAUCUCAUCGCCGGAUGGGAAGCGCAUAGAUGAUUGAUGUGGUUCGGUUUCCAACUUCCCAUUCAGAUCAGAUGCUUUAUCAAAAGCAUUUUCUUUUUUUCCCUCUUUGCUUCGAAAAAAAGUGCAACAUACAAAAAGAAAGAAACCACUUUGGAUGAUGAUGAAACUGUGCAUUGAUACUACUCCUGCUCGAUAAAACAUGGAAUUACUUCCACUUUCAUUUACUCAUAUUUUUUGUCACUGUUCUCUGUACACAUUGGUUUUAUUCCUCUCACAGCUGCAUCCUAAGCUAGAAACGGGAUUACAUGGCAUGCAUAUUUACAGAGGCUUAAGGAAAAUUGCAAAAUGAAACUAGAAAAGACUACCAUUUAUUUUUUUGAUUUUCGGGGCCUCGUUUUUGCCUCUUGCACGGUUGCUACUCCACGAGUGCGGCGAAGCAGCUCUCGGUGCGCGCGAGCGGGGCGCCGGCGCCGGCGCCGNNNNN
This 520-nucleotide long non-coding RNA is filed under the name Hordeum vulgare. RNAcentral's name for it is "long non-coding RNA (HVUL_LNC003264)". Lineage: Eukaryota; Viridiplantae; Streptophyta; Magnoliopsida; Poales; Poaceae. The record is from RNAcentral.